Molecule: ribosomal RNA, 292 nt
Filed under: uncultured bacterium
Lineage: Bacteria
Description: partial 16S ribosomal RNA
Rfam family: Bacterial small subunit ribosomal RNA
Source: RNAcentral
GUGCCAGCCGCCGCGGUAAUACAGAGGGGGCAAGCGUUGUUCGGAAUUACUGGGCGUAAAGGGCGCGUAGGCGGCCGACUAAGUCAGACGUGAAAUCCCAUGGCUCAACCAUGGAACUGCGUCUGAUACUGGAUGGCUUGAGUUCGGGAGAGGGAAGUGGAAUUCCAGGUGUAGCGGUGAAAUGCGUAGAUAUCUGGAGGAACACCGGUGGCGAAGGCGGCUUCCUGGACCGACACUGACGCUGAGGCGCGAAAGCCAGGGGAGCAAACGGGAUUAGAUACCCUAGUAGUCC